Molecule: ribosomal RNA, 413 nt
Filed under: uncultured microorganism
Description: bacterial SSU rRNA
Rfam family: Archaeal small subunit ribosomal RNA
Source: RNAcentral
GUGUAGCAGGCGCGAAACUUCACAAUGUGCGAAAGCACAAUGAGGGAAUCCCAAGUGCUUGCACGUAAGUGUAAGCUGUUUCUCUGUCUAAAACGCAGAGAGAGUAAGGGCUGGGUAAGACGGGUGCCAGCCGCCGCGGUAAUACCUGCAGCUCGAGUGGUGACCGUUAUUAUUGGGCCUAAAACGUCCGUAGCCGGUUUAAUAAAUGCCUGGGUAAAUCGGACCGCUUAACGGUUCGAAUUCCGGGUAGACUGUUAAACUUGAGACCGGGAGAAGUUAGAGGUACUCCUGGGGUAGAGGUGAAAUUCUGUAAUCCUAGGGGGACCACCAGUGGCGAAGGCGUCUAACUAGAACGGGUCUGACGGUGAGGGACGAAGCCCUGGGGCGCAAACGGGAUUAGAUACCCCUGUAGU